Candidatus Margulisbacteria bacterium GWE2_39_32 is the source of this 173-nucleotide non-coding RNA. NCBI's taxonomy places the organism in Bacteria, Bacillati, Candidatus Margulisiibacteriota. The record is from Rfam.
UCCAUCGUGAGGUGGAAUCUGAAGGAAGUCGGCGGCAAAGCUCUGGUCUGAGGAACACGAACUGCACAAAAGGCAUAUGCCUGUUGGGUAAGUUUGCAUAACAAAACAGAGCCCUAAACUAAUCGAAACAGGUGGUGUAUAUGCAGCAGAUAGAUGGAGUGAAAGAUGGGGGA